AUACGGAGGGGGCUAGCGUUAAUCGGAAUUACUGGGCGUAAAGGGUACGUAGGCGGUUAAAUAAGUUGGAUGUGAAAGCCCCGGGCUCAACCUGGGAACUGCAUUCAAAACUGUUUGACUAGAGUGUAUGAGAGGUUGGCGGAAUUCCAGGUGUAGCAGUGAAAUGCGUAGAUAUCUGGAGGAACAUCAGUGGCGAAGGCGGCCAACUGGCAUAACACUGACGCUGAGGUACGAAAGCGUGGGGAGCGAACGGGAUUAGAAACCCGAGUAGUCC
This 274-nucleotide ribosomal RNA is filed under the name uncultured bacterium. RNAcentral's name for it is "partial 16S ribosomal RNA". It matches the Rfam family "Bacterial small subunit ribosomal RNA", at positions 523 to 796 of the family's 1533-position model. The record is from RNAcentral.